GAUGAACGCUGGCGGCGUGCCUAAUACAUGCAAGUCGAGCGAACAGACGAGGAGCUUGCUCCUCUGACGUUAGCGGCGGACGGGUGAGUAACACGUGGAUAACCUACCUAUAAGACUGGGAUAACUUCGGGAAACCGGAGCUAAUACCGGAUAAUAUAAUGAACCGCAUGGUUCAAUAGUGAAAGACGGUUUUGCUGUCACUUAUAGAUGGAUCCGCGCCGCAUUAGCUAGUUGGUAAGGUAACGGCUUACCAAGGCAACGAUGCGUAGCCGACCUGAGAGGGUGAUCGGCCACACCGGAACUGAGACACGGUCCAGACUCCUACGGGAGGCAGCAGUAGGGAAUCUUCCGCAAUGGGCGAAAGCUUGACGGAGCAACGCCGCGUGAGUGAUGAAGGUCUUCGGAUCGUAAAACUCUGUUAUUAGGGAAGAACAAAUGUGUAAGUAACUAUGCACGUCUUGACGGUACCUAAUCAGAAAGCCACGGCUAACUACGUG
RNAcentral lists this ribosomal RNA (497 nucleotides) under uncultured bacterium. RNAcentral's name for it is "partial 16S ribosomal RNA". It matches the Rfam family "Bacterial small subunit ribosomal RNA", at positions 28 to 507 of the family's 1533-position model. The record is from RNAcentral.